This is a non-coding RNA of Lolium perenne, 2279 nucleotides long. The record is from RefSeq and is a predicted model, not a curated record. NCBI's taxonomy places the organism in Eukaryota, Viridiplantae, Streptophyta, Magnoliopsida, Poales, Poaceae.
CCCAAUCCCCACCCCACCGGUCUCCCCAAUGGCCCAAUCCCUCCGUCCCCCAUCUUCCUAAAGCCUUCCGACGCUUAGGGUUUGCCCAUGGCGCUUGCUUGGAGGCGCGGGCUGGUCCCCGAGGGAGAUGCACCAGCGAAGAAGGCGUUGAGGCUAUGGUGGGUGGCUAGCGGCGAGGGCGGGGGUGGCCAGCGAGCUGCGAGGCGGCGGUGUCUACCGGUGCUCCUCCGCUCCUCACUUUUUCACCGGCAGCAACGAGCGCCCGACCUCUUUGUUCGUGGACUUCUUUAUGGUCGUCGUCUGGGAUUGUCAGGCAGAGCCGCAGGAGGAGAGCAUGCGAUGUAGGAGGAUGAGGAGGAGCAGGCGAUGUAGGAGGAUGAGGAGGAGCAGGCGGUGUAGGAGGAUGAGGAGGAGCAGGCGGAUGCCAAGGUGGAGAAACAGCGGAGACCACCUAAUAUGUUGUCAAUAAGCACGAGCUCGAUCCCCUCUUCUGCCAUCACCACGUCUAGGAGGCUGCUAGCUCCCUUGCCCUGCUGGUGAGAACCGGGAGGAGGAGGAGGAGCAGCAGAAGAGAUGGAGGGGUCCUGAAGAAGAGACACUUGAUGGAAGAGGAAGAAAUGCCCCGACAGUGCCCUGCAUCUCCCGUCAUCCUCCAUCCCCGCCUUCUCUUCGCCCCUGCACAUCGGCUCCAACCAUCUUUUUCUGGGCAGCAGGAGGGCUUCGACGGCGCCGGUUCGAGCUCUCUCUCCGGGGCCGAACGGCGAGUUGGGUCUUCCUGUGGUGAUAUUUUUGUUUCCUGUAGUGUAAAAUAUUUUGAUUAUGGUUGUUCUUUUCUCAGAAAGUUGAUGAGCAACUAGUCACCUGUCUAGAGAUCUGUUGCUUCAUCGUUGUUUUGUCCAGAAAAGAUUGCGGAUCAGGGCAUCACAAAGUAUUCCACAAAAGUUCUACCUUUCAACUAUGAACAUAGCGUAUAUGGAUUUCGAGAAUAUUUCAAGAAGUAUGGAUUCAAGUCUCUGAAACAAUGUUUUCGUAUAUCAUGGAGAAGCCCUGCAGAGCUAACCAGACUAACUUGCGUGAGUCCGGCUUGUUGAACGUCCCUUCAGUGUCAUGGUUCUACCAUGGUCAAGCAUAUCCACGAACAAAUAUGAAAUACUAUGUUAUUAUAUAUUACCAUUCCCUGACAAAUGGUUGAAAACAUGGCGAAGCUCUUUGCUAGGUUUCCACUAUGCUCGAGAGUGAGUAGAAGAAUUUAUGGAUGUUUCACAUGCUGUAUUUCAUGGAAUGUCUGAACUGCACAUUACAGAACCAUUUGGAUCUGGAUUCAAAUGGCCUGGAUCAGUACUGUGAUUUAAUUCGGUGGUACUGUCUUUGCUGGCUAGGGUCUGGUAAUGGAGAUCAUCUCCAGCUGAAGCCUGGUUGACUACGCUAGGUUGUAUGCAUCCUUUUCUGAAUAAUUACCGCAUUUGAUGUGCAUCCAUGUAAAACCAAUUGGUUCUCAAUUUGACUUUUGAAUAAUUAGUAUUGAUCUGCAUCCAUGGAUUUAAUUUUGACCUUUUUGUACAAUAAUAGAUUUUUGAUCAGCUGCGAAAUCUGUGGUGAAUAUAUGCCUGAAUGUAACAAUCCAUUGGUGUAUCUGCAAACUGCUUGAAGCUCCAACACCUUCGAACAGCUGCUGGUCUGGGAGUGAGAACCGGAAGCAUUAUGCAGACUGCAUGGAGAUACUCACCCUCAUGUCAUUGCCCAUGUCAAAAAGCCAGCAUGUUCCUCAGGGAUGGCAUGUCCCCUAUCGACAUCAUUGGAUUAUAAAAAAAUGCACCCAUGAAAGAAAAGUACAGUGGCGCCUCGCGGGAUAAGAGGUGGGAGCAACAAGCCUUGCAUUUUGCAGUGAAGUUGCAACUGUAUAAAAAACUGAUGUUGACACUACCGUGUAGGAAUUCAUGCCUAUCUUAGGGUCUUUGUUUACAUUUCCAAGUGAACCUGCUGCUAUUGCUUUAGGUUAGAAUAUCUUAAUAUAUUAUGUCUUUCAUUUAUCCACGAUUUAUAUAACAAGGCUUAACCGUCGUCGAGAGGACCUGCUGGUGGCCGGUAGGAGCGUCGAGCAAGGGCUGGCCGCAUGCCUCAGCCUCCUCAACCAGCACGAGCAAGCGGAGUGGCCUAACCGUCGCCGAGAGGAGCUUCUGGUGUCCAGUAGGAGCUGCAUAGCCCACCUCUCGCACCGCCGCAUGUCGUCGUGCCGUCGCCGGGUGGAGCCGCUGGUGGAGCUCCGCCCUUGGACUUCG